Long non-coding RNA from Sardina pilchardus (European sardine), 719 nucleotides. RefSeq lists it as uncharacterized. Lineage: Eukaryota; Metazoa; Chordata; Actinopteri; Clupeiformes; Clupeidae. The transcript has 6 exons. The record is from RefSeq and is a predicted model, not a curated record.
AGACAGCAAAGGAGUCCAAAACGGACCCGCGCUCAAGCCGCCACAUCCGCCUGACAGUCAGCCUCCGUUUUGGAUACGGGCACAGAACACAUUUCGCCUCCGUUAACGCGCCUUCAUACGGCGGAUCCACGCCGGACCCUUUGCGGAUGCGCACAUCGAACGCGCCCUUCAAAUCUGCUAACGGUUUCCUUCCUCAGUUUUUUCGCUGAUGGAGUGCGGAGGCGAAAUAGCGGUGUCUGCGGGCUCACUGUCAUUCACAAGUGGCUCCAGUCUGGUUUGGGGGUCUACCCUUUCUUAUCAUGUCCUGCCACCCAAUAAAGCCAUUCACAAGUGGCUCCAGCCUGGUUUGGGGGUCUAGCCUUUCUCAUCCUGUCCUGCCACCCAAUAAAGCCAUUCACAAGUGGCUCCAGCCUGGUUUGGGGGUCUAGCCUUUCUCAUCCUGUCCUGCCACCCAAUAAAAAGAGAAAUUACUAAAGGCCUCUGCAACUGCUUUUACCAGAUGCUGUGAGAGAGUUAUGCCCUGUGCCGCGGCUUCUGAUUCAGUACAGCAGUUCAACCAGCCCAGCAAACAGGAAAAGCUCAAGGAGGUGUCUUAACUAUCAGCAUUCCUACCCAAACAGAUCAAGCUACUGUUAUGUCCAACUAAGAAAAACAAUGGUCUGGUAUGAAGGUUAUCUGUGUUUUGAAACAUAAAUAUUCAUUAAAUAAUAAUAAAAAUG